This 88-nucleotide transfer RNA is filed under the name archaeon. RNAcentral's name for it is "tRNA-Ala". It matches the Rfam family "tRNA". From Rfam's summary of the family: Transfer RNA (tRNA) molecules are approximately 80 nucleotides in length. The record is from RNAcentral.
GGGCCCGUAGCUCAAUCUGGUAGUCUAUAUGGCCAAAAGUAUUCCCUUCGCAAGGGAAAGAUUGCGAGUUCAAAUCUCGCCGGGUCCA